AGGUUGAAACAUCGGUUCCCGUACAAUCACCGAGGUUAAGCAACGUCGAGCCUGGUCACUACUUAGCUGGGUGACCACUUGCGAUUACCCAGUGGGCUG
This is a non-coding RNA of Acanthosepion pharaonis, 99 nucleotides long. The record is from the annotation of a GenBank genome assembly. Lineage: Eukaryota; Metazoa; Mollusca; Cephalopoda; Sepiida; Sepiidae.